Molecule: small nuclear RNA, 103 nt
Organism: Hemiscyllium ocellatum (epaulette shark)
Lineage: Eukaryota; Metazoa; Chordata; Chondrichthyes; Orectolobiformes; Hemiscylliidae
Source: RefSeq, a predicted model, not a curated record
UCACUUUGGCAGUGCAUAUAGUAAAAUUAGCAUGAUACAAAACAGACAAGCAUGGUCUCUGCAUAAGGAUGACAUGCAUGUUUGUGAAGUGUUCCUUUUUUUA